Molecule: long non-coding RNA, 2427 nt
Organism: Agrilus planipennis (emerald ash borer)
Lineage: Eukaryota; Metazoa; Arthropoda; Insecta; Coleoptera; Buprestidae
Exons: 7
Source: RefSeq, a predicted model, not a curated record
UUGUUGUUAAGAAUAUAUUUUUUGGCUUUUGUUCGAGCGUAAUUUUCUCUCUUUCUUUCACCGAAUACUUGCUCUCUCUAACAGUCGUGUGCUUGAACGCUCGACCGACAGAACAAGACAUUUCUGUUCGUUUUGGUAUAAAUAGCCAUUAAAAAUGUGUUUUGAAAAUUAAUGCGUCAUCUUUGUGUGAAUUAAACCUUUUUAAACUUGUAUUACAAAAGGAAUGUCUUAGUUUGUCUAUUUGAUGAUAUGUGGGGGCUGAUUUCGGAAACUAACGAAUCAAAGUUGAUAGCUCUUUAAUUGUUUGAAAUCUACACAAUUUUCGAGGUUGUUGUAGCUUAUUUUUAAUGUUUUUUUACUAUUUUAAAGCAUUUCUUGUUGUUUAGAAUAUAUUUUUUGGCUUUUGUUCGAGCGUAAUUUUCUCUCUUUCUUUCACCGAAUACUUGCUUUCUUUAACAGUCGUAUGCUUUCCAUGCAAAAAACAUUACCCUCUUCGGUGGUACAGAAUUAAAGUCGACUUUUUCGCAGGCAUUUUUGACUGAUGUGGAAAAUUAUUUCAGUUUCAAGAAGGCGUUCCAUGAAUAAAACAUUUCUCUUUUCGAUGAUAAAAACAGAUCUUAAUUUGGAAAAAAUAAAAUAACCUUAGUACAGCCCUGUAAAACGUCAUCUGUAUUUGUAGAAACAAUAAAAAUCGCGAUUUUCGCAGGCAUUUUUGAUAGAGAAACUUAAUUCGUAAUUGGAAAAAGGCCUUCUAUGCUCAAAAUGUUAUACUCUCCUUAAUGAUAGGAAUGGAUUUUAAUUGGGACUUUUAAUAAACUUAAUACAGCCCUGUAAACUGCCGCCUGUCUUUGUAGAAACAACAAAAAUUGAGAUUUUCGCGCGGUCGCUUCAGGCUGAUCUGGAAAAUUAUCUCGCAGCUUCACAAAGGUAUUUGAUGCACAAAACAUUGCUCUUUUCGAUGGUACAAACUGAUUUUAAUUCUAAUUUUAAAUAAAUAAACUACAGCCCUGUAAAAUGACGUCUGUUUUUGGAAAAACAACAAAAAUUGGGAUUUUCUCACCUGUGGGAUGUGGAGAUUUCAUCUCGUAUUUUGACAAUGUUUUCCUUUGCAAUGGAAAAAACUCGGACUUUAACUAAAUCUUAUUGUCGCUGUGGUUUUGCAGAAACAAUAAGAAUUUUAAAAUCCGCGAUAUUUGUGUUGCUUUUACAUCUGUAAUUAAUACUUUUAACAAGCAUUACAACAAAAAAAAAUCUGUUUUUUUAAAUUUUUAUUACCUAUUGUUGUUUUAUUGUUUAUUAUUUAAAAAUCUGGCUCAACUUCGAGUAGUAGUUCAAAAGCUCUCCGUAAUACGCUCACCGAUUGCGCCACCAGUCUUUUGUUUUCUGCAAGAAACACUGUCUUCAUUAUAAUUUAGUAGAUCGCGAAGAGAAAAUGCUGUGCGGGCAGUUACAUUUAUACUAACCUGUUUUCCGUGGAAAUUAAUCAUGUUUGUGUGUGAAAAGUUCAUAAGUUUCUACCGUGAAAUCAAAAUUGGGACAUGGUGAUGAUUUAAAUGUGAUAUACUCAUUCAAUUUCAUUCGCUACCUGACGAUAAGAAUUGUGAAGAAGAUUUUUUAAGAAGAACGAACACCUGCAAUGGGCGAGAUCAGUGGAUGACUUAAAUUACAACAAUGGUACAUCUUCCAAUCCAGUCAUCAAAUAAGAGCCACCCCUACAAUGGACCAAUUAGAGCAUCGUCUUUACAGGGACACUUCGGGGAAUGAUACAUCGUCCAGUCCAGCUAUCAAACAAGAGGAACCACAGCAAUGGACCAAUUCGUGGAUCGUCUUUAUAGGGACAUUUCCAGGAAUUGUCUUCGUGCUGAAGAAUUUUUCAAAUCUUAUACUCUUUCAAGUACAUAUUCCAACCCAGUUAUCGAACAAAAACCACCCCAGCAAUGGGCCAACUCAAGGAUGGUCGUUAUAAGAACAACAAGAGUAAUGUAACAUCUUCCUGUCCAGCCAUUGAACAAGAACCACCCCAACAAUGGGCUAACUCAAGGAUCGUCUUUGUCAGGACACGAUUUUUAAAACUUCUUUUCUUUUGUGUUUAUUUUGCCACUUUUCUUUGGAACUUAUUUUAUUUUAAGUUUCUUGAGUUAGACUUACAAUCAUAUGCUUGCAGGAGUAUCUUCUUGACUUAUUUUUAGAUCCUUAUGUUGAAGAAUUUUUUGAAACCAUAUACUCUUUCAGGCAUAUCUUCCAGCCCAGUUAUCGUACAAGGAUCACCCCUACAAUGGACCAAUUCGAGAAUCGUCUUUAUAGGGACAGUUCGAGUAAUGGUACAUCUCCCAGUCCAGCCACCGAACAGGGACCACACCAGCAAUUGGUCACUUCCAGGAUCGUCGAGAUGCGAUUCAACAGGGGUAGGCUUAUUUUUUUGUACUU